This 468-nucleotide ribosomal RNA is filed under the name uncultured bacterium. RNAcentral's name for it is "partial 16S ribosomal RNA". It matches the Rfam family "Bacterial small subunit ribosomal RNA", at positions 28 to 507 of the family's 1533-position model. The record is from RNAcentral.
GAUGAACGCUGGCGGCGUGCUUAACACAUGCAAGUCGAACGGAAAGGCCCAAGCUUGCUUGGGUACUCGAGUGGCGAACGGGUGAGUAACACGUGGGUGAUCUGCCCUGCACUUCGGGAUAAGCCUGGGAAACUGGGUCUAAUACCGGAUAGGACGAUGGUUUGGACGCCAUUGUGGAAAGUUUUUUCGGUGUGGGAUGAGCUCGCGGCCUAUCAGCUUGUUGGUGGGGUAAUGGCCUACCAAGGCGUCGACGGGUAGCCGGCCUGAGAGGGUGUACGGCCACAGUGGGACGGAGAUACGGCCCAGACUCCUACGGGAGGCAGCAGUGGGGAAUAUUGCACAAUGGGCGCAAGCCUGAUGCAGCGACGCCGCGUGGGGGAUGACGGCCUUCGGGUUGUAAACUCCUUUCGCUAGGGACGAAGCGUUUUUGUGACGGUACCUGGAGAAGAAGCACCGGCUAACUACGUG